This is a long non-coding RNA of Hevea brasiliensis (rubber tree), 8467 nucleotides long. RefSeq lists it as uncharacterized. The transcript is spliced from 4 exons. NCBI's taxonomy places the organism in Eukaryota, Viridiplantae, Streptophyta, Magnoliopsida, Malpighiales, Euphorbiaceae. The record is from RefSeq and is a predicted model, not a curated record.
UUUUCUAGUUUCCAGCAGAGAGAAAAGAAAGAAACGGGGAAAAGGAGAAGAGGAGAAUUGAGGGGGAAAAAAGAAAAACAGAGGGAGCAAAACAGAAGAGGAGGCAGCAGUAGUAAACCCACCCAAAUCCAUAUUUUUCUGACCAAUUUUUGACUUUCUUCCAGCAUAAAAUCAGAACUCUUGCACUUUUGUAGCUCUAAUCAAAUUUCCUUAUUGAGUUUUCAAUGUAGAAAUACGCAAAUCAGAGGGAGAAGGAACUGUUAUUGCUGUCCUCAUAAGUUCAAAUGCCAUUGCUGCCCACCAACCCUUCUAUCGUUGCCUCAAAUUACGCAAUUACCUUAUUGGGGUUUUGAUUUGGCAAAAAUAUGAAGGGGAAACUGAUUUCAUGAGCAGAGAUACAGAAAUUUCAGCUUCGAUUCAUAUAGCUCAAAAUUUAAGAGCUACGUGAACCUGAUCCUCCAUAUGAGGUACGUAAGCAGCCCUCGGGUGUGGUCCAAAGAAGGAGAAAAUAGGGAGAUUUUGCAAGAGAGAGAGGAAGAAAGAGGAGCACGUAAGAUUGGGUUGCAGCAGCUGAAGAGGACGCCUUCUUCAACAUUCUAGCAGCAGUUUUUUCACCAUUUUCACUGAGUUUUUCUAUCCCUUAGCUUAGAUUUUCAUUCCUUCUUUAUUUCUAUAUUUGGGUUUGUCUUGAAAUUAUGAUUUGUGAGUAGAACUUAGAGAUUCUAGAGAUGGGUUUGUAAAUAUUAUUUUGUAUUGUGGUUUUUUGAACUGAUUUUGUCAUUUAAAUGAGAUUUGCUGCAUUUUGAUUUAUUGCUUGUAAGCUUGUUGCCUUGAUGAAAUGGCUCUCAUUAAGUUAAGUUUUAAUUCUUAAUAGAUGGACUGAAAAGUGAAUAUUUGGAAUGGAUAAUCUUGCAAUAAACUUAGUUUUUUUAGUGUUAAAGAUAAGCUAAGAGGAUAAAGGGGACUUUUAAAAUCAAUUAGAGUUUCAAUUGGUUUUUUGUCAAGUUUGAAAUACCGUGAAAACAUGGUUUGAUUUGAUGAAUUCCAACUUUGAAAUGCUUGAGAAAGGUUUUAAAGAACUAAGAAUUGAUUUCCCUCAAAAUUGCAAUUCUCAUGUGUUUUGGUAAAUUGGGGAUAAAUUACAUGCAAACAAUAUUAAAAACCCUAUCUCUAGAAUCAUUUUAAUUUUUAUUGAAGUUAGAUUUAAUUUCUCCUAAAUUUGUAAUUAGUGAUUUCAAUUUGAAUUUUAGUCAUCUAGUUUAAUUAGUUCAAUUAAUUAUUUGAAUUAACUUAAAUUUCUCAAAUACCAAUUUUAAAUUUUAAAUUUCAUUACCAAUAUCUUUAAAUUUUACUAUUCUAAUUAGCUUAUUUCUUUAAUUCCAAUUUAAGCAUAAUUUCCUGUGGGAAUGAUAUUUUUGAAACUAUACUAUUGUGACCUGUGCACUUGCGGAAGCUAUUUAACAGCAACAUCAAGUUUUUUGAUGUCGUUGCUGGGGAAUUGUUUAGUUUUAAGUUGGAUUUUAUUUGUUUUAAGUUGAUUAGAAUUUUUAUUUUUUUUUAUUUUCACUGUUGUUCCUUAUAUUUUUCAAGUACUUUUCUUGUUUAUGAGACAAUGGAAAAGCAUAAGUGAUAUUCAAUUGUUGUUCAACCUUGAAAUUGAAAAAUUCUGUCGAGCCAACAAAAAGGAAUCUAAGAGGAUAAAGGAAGUAGAAAAAGAAGAGCAACAAAAGUUUGAGAAAGGAGAAAAUUGAAAAUAUGGAGAAUCUAAAUAGAGCUAAUGAUGGAAAAAAUGGAGGAAAUGAUCAGAACAGGCUGAAUGAAGUUGUUAAUCAAAAUGAUCCUCAGAUAAGGUCCAUGUUAGAUUAUGCUUUUCCUAGAUGUGCAGAUGUGAAAGAUAACAGACCUAUUAUUGGAGCUAAUCAAUUUGAGUUAAAGACCGGCCUCGUUCAAAUGGUUCAGAAUUCAUAAUUUGGGGGCAGCCCACUUGAGAAUCCCCAUUCUCAUUUGAAGAAAUUUUUGAUAAUAUGUGGCACUCAAAGACAACCUAGAGUUUCAGAUAGAGUGAUUUGGCUUACCUUAUUUCCAUUCUCUCUUCGGGACUCAGCAUUGGAGUGGUAUGACUCACUUCUACAAUCUACUAUAACUACUUGGGAGCAGCUAUCUCAAGCUUUUCUAUCUCAGUUUUUCCCACCUAGGAGACCACUCAUUUGAGGAAUUUAAUGAUAGCUUUUAAACUAAGAGAUGAUGAAACUUGGUAUGAAUCUUGGAUGAGAUUAAGGAGCUUGAAAGAUAAUGUCCUCAUCAUGAAAUACCUAAAUGGAUAAUUGUUCAGAAGUUCUACACCAGAGUUACUCCAGCCAUAAGAAAUACAAUUGAUUCACAAGCAGGAGGAGAUUUCAUGAGAAUGACAAGUGAAGAAUGCUAUGAUCUGUUAGAGAAGAUUACUCAUAACACCUAUUUGUGGGGAAAUCCAAGAGCCCUUUAGCCAAAAAAGGCUGGGAUCUAUGAACUCGACUCGGUUAGCUACAUGAAUGCAAGAUUUGAUCAGUUGACUCAGCUUCUUAGUGAUUUUUGCAUACAGGCAACAGUUUCAACUCCUACAACUAAGCAAUAAGUUGCCUACACAGAUGGAAUCCAAAGUUGUGGAGUUGAUUACUUGCAAGAACAAGCUGCUUAUGCAGGAGGUUAUCAACAGAAAUCAAUGGAAAAUUCUUAUUCUAAUGUGAACAACUCAACAUGGAGACCACAAGCAACUUUUGGGCAGCAAAGUCAAAGCUCAAACUAUGCUCAUAACCAGCAGUAUAUGCAUCAGAAUAGGCCUCAGUUUCAGUCUCAAUUUUAGCCCACAAGGCAGCCACCACCUGGAUAUCAACCAAGAGCACAACAACCUCUUCCACCUCCUGAACCAAAACCAACCUUGGAAAGCAUGAUGGAGAAAUUUUUUACUGAACAAAGCAAGAUGAAUAGCAAAUUGGAGGAAGCAAUGCAACACAUAAGACAAACCAUGGAUCAAUUAUAAGCUCAUAACUGUAUGUUGGAGAAUCAAUUGGCUCAACAAGCAAGCUCAUGAGGAUCUAAAUCCUAUGGCAAACUACCUAGCCAACCACAGAACCCCCAUUAACAAUACAAGGUUGUGACCUUGAGAAGUGGUAAGAAAGUUGGUCAAGAGAGUGAAAACAAGAGAGAAGAAAAAGAGAGCACAAAAGAAGAAAAUUCAGUUGAAAGCAAAAAAAAUGAAAAAGAAGAAAAAAGCAAAAGUGAGCAAGAUGAGGGAGAGAAGCCAUACAUCUCACCUGAGCCUUAUAAGCCUACUCUACUCUAACCUCAAAGAUUCAUCAAGCAUAAAUUAGACAAACAAUUUGGAAAAUUCUUUGCAGUGCUAAAAAAGUUGUAUAUCAAUGUGCCAUUCACUGAGGCACUAUCCCAAAUGCCAAGUUAUGCGAAGUUUUUUAAGGAGAUUUUUACCAACAAGAGAAGGCUAAAGGAUUAUGAUACCAUCAAUUUGGGAGAGCAAUGCAGUGCUAUAAUUUAGAAGAAGUUACCUCCCAAACUCAAAGAUCCGGGUAUAUUUUCCAUUCAUUGUCUUAUAGGUGAUAACUGUGUGGCAAAUGCCUCAUGUGACCUUAAAGCUAGCAUCAGCUUAAUGUCACUUUCACUAUAUGAGUAGCUGAAUAUGGGAGAGUUGAAGCCCACCAACAUGUAUCUUUCAUUGGCUGACUGUUCAAUUAAGUAUCCAGAAGGCAUUAUAGAAAAUGUGCCUAUCAAGGUUGAAAAAUUUUGGAAAAUUCCUUGUAGUGCUAAAGAAGUUGUAUGUCAAUGUGCCAUUCACUGAGGCACUAUCCCAAAUGCCAAGUUAUGCGAAGUUUUUUAAGGAGAUUUUUACCAACAAGAGAAGGCUAGAGGAUUAUGAUAACAUCAAUUUGGGAGAGCAAUGCAGCGCUAUAAUUUAGAAGAAGUUACCUCCCAAACUCAAAGAUCCGGGUAUAUUUUCCAUUCCUUGUCUUAUAGGUGAUAACUGUGUGGUAAAUGCCUUAUGUGACCUUAGAGCUGGCAUCAACUUAAUGUCACUUUCACUAUAUGAGUAGCCAACCAACAUGUAUCUUUCAUUGGCUGACUGUUCAAUUAAGUAUCCAGAAGGCAUUAUAAAAAAUGUGCCUAUCAAGGUUGGAAAAUUUUACAUUCCCAUGGAUUUUGUCAUUUUACACAUGGAAGAAGAUAAAAAAAUUCCUAUCUUGUUGGGAAGACUAUUUUUUGCCACAGCUGGUGCAUUAAUUGAUGUAAAAGGUGAGAAAUUGACACUUAGAGUGGGAGAUGAUCAAAUGAUAUUCAACAUCAAUCCAUCCAUGAGGAGGAAACAUGAAGAAGUUAAGUCUUGUUUGCGAAUAGACAUCAUAGAUGAGAUUGUAUAAGAGCAUUUCAGAAAAAGCUAUCCACAAGACCCACUUGAAAAUUACCUAGUCCAUGGUGAGAGCAUUGAUGACAACAACCCACACAUAGCCGCUUUUACACAAUACUUGGAGAGCUCACCACCACACCUUGAAGCUACAAUUUUUUAGCUUUAAGAAGUGUAGACUUUGGAGAUUAAAUCACCAUCAUUAAAGGUAGAGGAUGCUCCAAAGGUAGAUCUUAAACCUCUUCCUUCCAACCUCAGGUAUGCUUUUCUUGGACCCAACGAAACAUAUCCUGUUAUAAUUAAUGCAUCUUUGACUGAUAUUGAGAUUGACAAAUUGUUGAGAGUUUUGAGAGAAUAUAAGAGAGUUUUGGGCUAUACAAUUGAUGAUAUAAAGGGAAUUAGUCUAACAGUUUGUAUGCAUAGGAUUUUCCUAGAGCUACAUAGUAUACCUUCUAUUGAACACCAAAGAAGAUUGAAUCCUACGAUGAAGGAUGUUAUGAAAAAGGAAAUCCUAAAAUUACUAGCUGCUGGAUAGAAGAUGUUGUUACAAUUUGAUGAGUUAGAAGAAUUGAGACUUGAUGCUUAUGAAAAUGCUAGGAUCUAUAAAGAAAGAGCUAAAAAAUGGCAUGAUAAGCAUAUCAAGAAAAAUGACUUUAAAGAAGGAGAUUUGAUGCUCUUAUUCAAUUCAAGGUUGAAACUAUUUUCAGGAAAACUAAAAUCAAAGUGGUCAAGACCAUUUAAAGUUGUGAAAGUUUUCCCCUAUGGUGCUGUAGAAAUUUUUGGUGAAAAAUCUGGUAAUUUCAAAGUGAAUGUGCAAAGGUUGAGACAUUAUUCAGUUGGUGAACCCAUUUAGAAGACAGCAACCUGCUAUCUCUCUCAUUCUCCAUGAGAUUUUGGUUGAGUAAGGUUAAGUUAAAGACCUAAACUUAGCAUUUUUUGGUGUAACCCACAAUUUUUCAUUGAUUCUUUAUUUCUUUCAUAUUUUUUGUUUUAAGUUUUCUAUACUCUUUAUUCAGAUUUUGACAUUGUUCUGAUUUUCUUAUGCAGAUGGGAUACAAUUCAUUGUAAGCAAAUGAGCACUUAUCAUUACGUUUUAGUUCUAGUUUUAAAUUUAAAUUUUAAAUUUUAGUUUUAAAUUUGUUCCUUUGUACUUUUUAUCUUUCUAUGGCUGAAUAUUUGCUGGUUGGUUUUGCAGGUUUCAUUGCUCAUUUUGUUGAUCUUAAGAGGAAGUUUUUCUAAACUUUGUCAUCUUGGUUUAAAAAGAAAAUCAAUUGAAUGUGGAUGUGUGAAUUGGUGCUUUGUAAAUUUUUAAUGAAUGUUAGAUGAAUACAGCAGGUUGAGCAGUUAGAACUCAUGUUAUGAAGGUCUGAUCACUUGAAUUUUAAUUUGUCUCAAUUUUCUAAGUAUUGUGCAACUUUGUCAAAUUUGGACAGAAAGUUACAAAACCCUCCACCCAACCAAUUUUGGUUUGUGUUGUAGCUUGUGUUCGCUGGACACCAAUUUGGACAAAAAGUUCUACAACCUUCGGCAUAAUCGAUUUUGGCUUAUGUCACAGCUUAUGUUCACUGAGCGCAAUUUUGGACAGAAAGUUGCAUAACUUGUAACACCCCUAUUUGCAUAGCCUGGUAUAUUUUACUAUUCCAGUGACCUGUGUCGGUCCGAAUAAUUAAGGGGAUUAGACCAUAUUUAAGACAACUAGAUAAGCCCCGAAAACAAAUAAUUAGUAAUUGUCAAAUAGUUAAGUAUAAAUAAGAAAAACAGAACACAAGAGGUUAAAUGAGCCGAGAGUCAUAGCGAUGGGCGAUCUUCUCGGGAACGAUUGCGAGGUCGAUUUAAACUCAAAUUUCGAACCGAAAAAUGUGAUGCUGCUGUCCUCAGGACUAUUUGCAACGCAGUGGAAAAGAGAAAAUCACAAAAAAGAAAUGUUAAGUCGGUCAAAUAAUUAAGUCAGGGAUCUGAAAGAAAUAUUAAAUUAUUUGCAAAUCGGGUCAAACCGGCGAGGGGCAAUUUGGUUAAUUGACUCCUAGAGCUGACUCCUGACCUAAUUGUCAAAUAAAAUCGAAUAAAAGAAAAUUUUGGAGUCGGGAAUUAAAUUAAAGAAUUGAAGAUAAAUAAAUUAAAAAAAAAAGAGGAAAAUAGAAAAAGUGAAAAGAUGAUUACAUCAUGCAUGAUGCAAUAAAUAUUAUAAUUAAAAAUUUAAAAUUUUGGAUAAUUUUUGGUCUUACUAAAGGUUAAAUAUUUAGAAAAAUAAAAGAAAAAAAAAACAAAAAGUCCUUCAUCUUCUUCAAAUUACCGUGACCCAUCUCUCUCAUCCCUCCCUCACCAAAUCCUCCAUGGAAGCUCAUUUUUGAGUUUGAAGACAACCAAAUUCCACCAUAGAAAAUUCAAUUAUCAUAACUAAACUUUGUUUGGGCAAUUAGAAAAGAAGGUUCAAGGAGAAAGAAAAAAGAAAGGAAGAAGUUUGAAGAGGAAAAAAAUUCUGCAUAAAGGUUAGUAAUCUAAACUUGAAGUUCUAGUUGAAUUAAUUGUGUUUAUAGUUGAAUAAACCUAGAAAUAUACUUAAAAUGAAAUGAAAAUAACUUUAGAGGACUAUAUGUGAAUUUCGGUCAGCCAUAAAUGUAUGGGAAUAUGAUAUGUUUUGAAUGAAUUAAAAGUGUAUGUAAGCUUGAAUGAGUUGAGAAAGGGUGUUGGUAUGCUUGGAAUCAAUUAAAUGUAACAAAUCAAGUGAAUUAGGGUUUGAACCUAGGGUUUUGGAAGACAAAAAUUGGAGAAUUGUUCAAAUGGUGUGCUUGACCUAGUUUGAGCUGAAAAAUGGUCAUAUGUGACCAAUUUUGGUGUGUUGAAAGUGUUGGAAUCAAGUGGAGAUUCGGAUUGGAUAUGGCCAUUAUGCAGGCAGCAUGACCAAGGUCCCUUUCAGGGACCAAAACUGAAAAUUUACCAACCCAAUUGGUAUGAUGCCAAUUAGGAAUGAAACUAGACACAAAAUGACACAUUUUUCAUUUAGGAAUCAUGCCCAGAAAGUGACUAAAACCUAAUGAACAAAUUGGCCAAAUCAGGAAUUGAGUGUUCUGCCCUGUACAAAAAUGACCAAAUGAACAAUGGCCAUAACUUGGGCUAAGCAGGUCUAAAUGACCUUAAAUUUUACCAGUAGAAAGAUGAGAUAUAGACCUAAAACUUUUAUGAAGAACAAAAACCCAAAUUAUGCCCUUAACCAAGUCAUAUAGCCCCUCAAAGUUGAUGACCUAAAACUGCCAGAACCAAUUUUGGUGCCUAGAAAAUCUGGGUUAAGCCAAUCCGGCCAGCCAUGUUCAAAUGGCUAUAACUUGAGCUACAAAACUCCAAUUGGAGUGAUUCAAAAAGAAGAAUAAAGUUAAGACAAUAAGGAACAAUUUCUAUGAAGAAAACUUAGCCAAAUUCUAACAGCAACAUGACCAAUGGAAUAGUGCAACAUAAGACACAAAAACUGAAAAUUUGAAAUUUUGCCUAAAAGACUUAAGUUUUGAGAAAACAACCAAAACCAACAAAUUAGGUAACCAAAAUGUGGUUUGUGAGUGAAAUUAGAAUUUUCAUACCUAUUAAGCCUUAGAAAGUCAACAAAUUGACUUGAAUAGUAUUGUGAAUAGCAACUCCGAAAUACAAAUUUUAAAGAACGUCAAGUUUAGCAUAUUAAAGCUAGAUAUAAGUAGAUUUGAAUUUAUUUUUGGAAUUAUGAUAAGUUAUGAUGCUGAAACACUGUGAAACUGUGUUUCAGUGGAAAAGAAUUCCUGGAAAGAACCCGAAGUGUCGAGUCAAGGCCAAGAGGCGACUCGUAUAAGAUAUAGAGACUAGAGGAGCAGCAGAGUGAGCUGCUAAGGAUUGUGGAGCUGCCUUUCCUAAAGUUUUAUCGGGUAUAUUUUAUACCCUGAUUGUAAAGAUUAUUUUGAUGUAUGUAAAUGUAUGUAAAUGUAGAAAAUGGUCAUGAGCAGUUAUAUAAAGUUUGUAAUAAUAUUAGUUUGGAUGUUUCUAAUAUAAAUUUUGGAUGAAUGUAAUUUGUUUUAAUUUGAAUGAAGUAUGAAUAAAAGUAUUUUGUUUUAA